This 378-nucleotide long non-coding RNA is filed under the name Nicotiana benthamiana. Its description in RNAcentral is "long non-coding RNA (NBEN_LNC018676)". The record is from RNAcentral. Lineage: Eukaryota; Viridiplantae; Streptophyta; Magnoliopsida; Solanales; Solanaceae.
UUACAAUAAAUAUGGAAAAUGAAAUGUCCAUUUUAUAUAAAGAAAUGAUCAGUGCACACUCGGGAGUUGUUUCCCGACCCAGCUAACUUAUUCACCAUGUCUGACAUGAUCUCAGAUUCUGCAGAGCAAGGGCAUCAUCUAUCUUGGCUCAGUGGCAUCACAGACUAAACAGGAUUUCUUCCAAGUUAAAAAUUUGUCUAUGUAAUUUGUUACACACUCCUAUAAAUACCACACAGCCACAAGUUAAACCAGUUGCUUCUUGAUGGUAGGCUAGAAACACAUGUUUUACACUCUAAUUAAUGUACUUUACGUGUGUUUGAGCUCAAAUGAUAGUGAAUUGCUCUUAUUACAUGUUUUAUGUCUUGCAGGAAGUAAUCC